GAACGCUGGCGGCAGGCUUAACACAUGCAAGUCGAGCGGUAACAGGGGGUGCUUGCACCCCGCUGACGAGCGGCGGACGGGUGAGUAAUGCUUAGGAAUCUGCCCAGUAGUGGGGGAUAGCCCGGGGAAACCCGGAUUAAUACCGCAUACGUCCUACGGGAGAAAGCAGGGGAUCUUCGGACCUUGCGCUAUUGGAUGAGCCUAAGUCGGAUUAGCUAGUUGGUGGGGUAAAGGCCUACCAAGGCCACGAUCCGUAGCUGGUUUGAGAGGAUGAUCAGCCACAUCGGGACUGAGACACGGCCCGAACUCCUACGGGAGGCAGCAGUGGGGAAUAUUGGACAAUGGGGGCAACCCUGAUCCAGCCAUGCCGCGUGUGUGAAGAAGGCUUUCGGGUUGUAAAGCACUUUCAGUGAGGAGGAAAACCUUACGGCUAAUAACCGUGAGGCUUGACGUUACUCACAGAAGAAGCACCGGCUAACUCCGUGCCAGCAGCCGCGGUAAUACGGAGGGUGCAAGCGUUAAUCGGAAUUACUGGGCGUAAAGCGCGCGUAGGUGGUUCGAUAAGCGGGAUGUGAAAGCCCCGGGCUUAACCUGGGAACGGCAUUCCGAACUGUCGGGCUAGAGUAUGGUAGA
Molecule: ribosomal RNA, 633 nt
Filed under: uncultured bacterium
Lineage: Bacteria
Description: bacterial SSU rRNA
Rfam family: Bacterial small subunit ribosomal RNA
Source: RNAcentral